This is a non-coding RNA of Manis javanica (Malayan pangolin), 1220 nucleotides long. NCBI's taxonomy places the organism in Eukaryota, Metazoa, Chordata, Mammalia, Pholidota, Manidae. The record is from RefSeq and is a predicted model, not a curated record.
UACAAAUGAACAUUUGUUAUAGGUGCUUGCUUAAUAUUUUUCCAACUGUUGGUCGAGAAGGAUCGAAAAGUUUGGUGAACUGUAGCUCAAGGUCGUAGCAGAAGCGGGCAGCCUGAGCAGAGGGGGGCCAGUGGGGGACCUGAAGCAGUUCGGUCAGCACUGUGAGUUCCGGCCUGUUUCCCUGCUGCUAAGCAUGAAGUGCGGGACUGAGGAGGGUGGCGGUGAGGCCGGACAGGGGCAGGGGCCAGGCCUCCGAGUGGCCUGGGUGCCAGGAGCCCGGGGACAUGGCUGGGAGGAAGGUCUGAGAGGCCAGAGGACAAAAAUGCACGGUCUAACAAGGAAGCAGCCAGCAGCGGAGCCCAGAGCCCAAGCAGCCCGGAGGGGGACGAGAACGGCGGUCAGUUUCAGGGGCUGAGAGCUGAGUUUCCGGAAGAGGGACUGUGGCUACUGUUUGGAAAGAGAUGUGCUGGGGUGGUAUACCAUGUUGGCCUGAGAUUAUGAAGCUCAACAUGUGUUCCUGCAGAUUGCCUCCUGAUUCAAGAUGGCUGUGCAAAUCCCAUUCGUCACAUCUGCAUUCCAGAAGCCAGGAGAAAGGGGAAGAAGCGGUGUCCUUUCUCUUUCAGAGCUUCUCAGUAAUCUCACACAGCAUUUACAUCUCAUUGAGUAGAACUUGGCCACAGUGAGCUGCAAGGGAGCAUAGAGUGUGUUUAGUAUUUUUAGCUAAACACACUAAAGAAUAAAAGGAGAAAGAAAAAAGUUGGGUUCUGUGCCUCGAAAGAUAAUCACUAGUAGAAAGCAAAUGAAAACAAUAGUUUUCUUUUUCACUUUUUAAUUGGCCAAAUGUUACAAAGAUUGGUAAAACCAGAGUUAGCAAGUGCGUGGGGAAGGUGGGUCCUCCUCCGCACAUUGCUGGUGGGCGUUGUGACUUGUCCUCACUUUUGGGGGGCAUAACCUGAAAUGUCUAAUAAAUACUAAAAUAUCCAUAUUGGACAUGAGGGAAGGUCGUAAUACAUUAUUAGCUUUGAAAAACAAACUGCAGAAUAACGUCUCUAGUAGCUGCAAACUGGUGGCCCAUUAUGGCACGUAACACUGUGUCAGGCACAGUGCCACGUGCUCUUCCCUUUUUCUCCUUUCACAACUAACUUACAAGGUAGGUACUAUUGGAUUUUUACUCAGGGGAAGCAUUUAAAGCACAGAGAGGUCAAAUACUUUUUCAUGGU